Molecule: ribosomal RNA, 229 nt
Filed under: uncultured Lactobacillus sp.
Lineage: Bacteria; Bacillati; Bacillota; Bacilli; Lactobacillales; Lactobacillaceae
Description: partial 16S ribosomal RNA
Rfam family: Bacterial small subunit ribosomal RNA
Source: RNAcentral
UAGUCUGGGAUACCACUUGGAAACAAGGUGCUAAUACCGGAUAAGAAAGCGGAUCGCAUGAUCAGCUUUUAAAAGGCGGCGUAAGCUGUCGCUAUGGGAUGGCCCCGCGGUGCAUUAGCUAGUUGGUAAGGUAAAGGCUUACCAAGGCGAUGAUGCAUAGCCGAGUUGAGAGACUGAUCGGCCACAUUGGGACUGAGACACGGCCCAAACUCCUACGGGAGGCAGCAGC